CUACGGGGGGCUGCAGGCGAGAAAACUUUGCAAUGUGCGAAAGCACGACAAGGUUAAUCCGAGUGGUUUGUGCUAAACGAACCUUUUGACAGUCCUAGAAACACUGUUGAAUAAGGGGUGGGCAAGUUCUGGUGUCAGCCGCCGCGGUAAAACCAGCACCUCAAGUGGUCAGGAUGAUUAUUGGGCCUAAAGCAUCCGUAGCCGGCUCUGUAAGUUUUCGGUUAAAUCUGUACGCUCAACGUACAGGCUGCCGGGAAUACUGCAGAGCUAGGGAGUGGGAGAGGUAGACGGUACUCGGUAGGAAGGGGUAAGAUCCUUUGAUCUAUUGAUGACCACCUGUGGCGAAGGCGGUCUACCAGAACACGUCCGACGGUGAGGGAUGAAAGCUGGGGGAGCAAACCGGAUUAGAUACCAGCGUAGUC
RNAcentral lists this ribosomal RNA (422 nucleotides) under uncultured archaeon. Its description in RNAcentral is "partial 16S ribosomal RNA". It matches the Rfam family "Archaeal small subunit ribosomal RNA", at positions 323 to 746 of the family's 1478-position model. The record is from RNAcentral.